This 433-nucleotide ribosomal RNA is filed under the name uncultured bacterium. RNAcentral describes it as "partial 16S ribosomal RNA". It matches the Rfam family "Bacterial small subunit ribosomal RNA", at positions 29 to 507 of the family's 1533-position model. The record is from RNAcentral.
AACGAACGCUGGCGGCAUGCCUAACACAUGCAAGUCGAACGAGACCUUCGGGUCUAGUGGCGCACGGGUGCGUAACGCGUGGGAACCUGCCCUUAGGUUCGGAAUAACUCCCCGAAAGGGGUGCUAAUACCGGAUAAUGUCUUCGGACCAAAGAUUUAUCGCCUUUGGAUGGGCCCGCGUUGGAUUAGUUAGUUGGUAGGGUAAAAGCCUACCAAGGCGACGAUCCAUAGCUGGUCUGAGAGGAUGAUCAGCCACACUGGGACUGAGACACGGCCCAGACUCCUACGGGAGGCAGCAGUAGGGAAUAUUGGACAAUGGGCGAAAGCCUGAUCCAGCAAUGCCGCGUGAGUGAUGAAGGCCUUAGGGUUGUAAAGCUCUUUUACCCGGGAUGAUAAUGACAGUACCGGGAGAAUAAGCUCCGGCUAACUCCGUG